This 253-nucleotide ribosomal RNA is filed under the name uncultured bacterium. RNAcentral describes it as "partial 16S ribosomal RNA". It matches the Rfam family "Bacterial small subunit ribosomal RNA", at positions 524 to 776 of the family's 1533-position model. The record is from RNAcentral.
UACGGAGGGUGCAAGCGUUAUCCGGAUUAACUGGGUUUAAAGGGUGCGCAGGCGGAUAUGUAAGUCAGUGGUGAAAUCUCCGGGCUUAACCCGGAAACUGCCGUUGAUACUAUAUAUCUUGAAUGCUGUGGAGGUAAGCAGAAUAUGUCAUGUAGCGGUGAAAUGCUUAGAGAUGACAUAGAAUACCUAUUGCGAAGGCAGCUUACUACGCAGAUAUUGACGCUCAUGCACGAAAGCGUGGGGAUCAAACAGG